Molecule: ribosomal RNA, 207 nt
Filed under: uncultured bacterium
Lineage: Bacteria
Description: partial 16S ribosomal RNA
Rfam family: Bacterial small subunit ribosomal RNA
Source: RNAcentral
CACGCAGGCGGUUUGUUAAGUCAGAUGUGAAAUCCCGGGGCUCAACCUGGGGACUGCAUCUGAUACUGGCAAGCUUGAGUCUCGUAGAGGGGGUGGAAUUCCAGGUGUAGCGGUGAAAUGCGUAGAGAUCUGGAGGAAUACCGGUGGCGGAGGCGGCCCCCUGGACGAAGGGACUGACGCUCAGGUGCGAAAGCGUGGAGAGCAAAC